AUCAUUUUAAAAAUGAUUUUUUGUUUUUUUAAUCAAAUAUUUAGUAAUUUAAAAUAAAAGUACGUUCGGUAAAAUAUUUUAUUUUUUGUUUUUCUAAUUUAAAAUCAAAUUUAUGUAAAUUUUUAAAAACAGAUUUUGAACGAUUUUAAAAAUUUUUAAAAACACUUUUUUCCUCUUUUCUCGCUUCUCUCUCGCUCUCUAGUUCUGCAAUUUCAAUGAUCUUCAAUGGCUUCCAUUCAGUAUUCUCGCUGAAUUCGAAGCUUGGGGUGUCGUUUCUGAAGUACUCGUUUCCGGCGACACCGUCAUAGCCGAAGGUCCAAGUCUUUCUGGCAUUACGCACGCAAGCUCUAUUAGGCGAUGUCGGCUGUAUAUUCAUGGCCUUUCUCAGGUGACGGACUACAACAAGGUUGUGUUGCAAGCUGACGGAGAUAGGGGGAACAACGGGAGGCCAUGCCCACCCCUAAUAUACUUUGUUCUUUUUAAAAUUUGUGUGCAUAUGAACUGUUUGGUUAAAUCUCUCAAUAACCUGUAUGUGUUGUAAAAUGUUAAUUGUGUGUUUUAUAAUAUGUAAUUAUACUAUUUAACUCAAGCUUGCCUAACAUUACUAAUCCAAAGAUACCCAUAUGAUUUCUAGUGUAAUUAUAUUUCUUGUCUAUUAAUUCAAAUUUACAUGUUGAUAUGUUGAUUUGCUUAUUCAAGGUUUUGGUCUGUCUUAAUAAAGUUCAUGUUGUUUCAGUACUUGCAAAAUAUGGACGAUUGUUCUGUAGUAUCUCCUGUUUGCAUCUUUAUUGACUAUUUUAUGAAAUGAAAUAAUGAAUCUGAAGUAUUCUUAGAAUGAAAAGAAUGAUGUAUGGGUCAUGGCUAGCUGUAGCAAUUGCUUACUGUUUUUAGGUUGGCAUGAGGCUAAUUAGGAUGAGAAGUUACUUUUAAGAAGUUAUCUAUCUUUGAAUUUUGAUUAGAUAAUUUAUAUGAAAAAAUAAUAUCAAUUAACAUUGUUUAGAAAAAUAUUAUCUGAUUGAUUCUGGAUAUACAAAUAUGCCUGGUUUUCUUUUCCCAUAUCGAGGAGAAAGAUAUCAUUUGAAUCAAUAUACAGAUCAUAAUCAUUCAGGAAAAAAGGAGUUCAAUUAUCGACAUUCGUCUUUGAGAAAUAUCAUCAAGCGGUACUUUGGCGUAUUAAAGGCUCGUUUUUUAAUUUUAAAGCAAAUGCCUUUGUAUGAUUUGAAAAUACAGAAGUACAUCGUGCUUGCCUGUUGUGGAAUUCACAAUUUUAUAAGGACAAAUGUAGAAAAAGACAUAUAUUUUGAUGGAGAUGAAGACAUCUAUGAAGUACAAGAUGCUACUAUACAAAGCACUCACGAAACUUUGAAUGAUAUUGUUGGGUUUAGCAUUUCAAGAGAUCAAAUUAGUGAAAAUGGCGAAUAUCAAUGAUGAAAUUGCUGAUCAUCUAUGGAUUAUGGAGAGCAAAUCGACGAUGAAGAUAAUGAGUGAAACUUAUUAACAAUUAGAAAAUUUUUAAUAUUUUUCUUCAAGAUUGAACAAUUAUUAGUUCAUAUUUUAUUAUGACUUUGUCGAUUUUAUGUUAUAGAUAAUGAGUUUCGUGAUUUUAAAUUACUUGAAUUUUUUUAAGA
This is a long non-coding RNA of Cannabis sativa, 1628 nucleotides long. RefSeq lists it as uncharacterized. The transcript is spliced from 3 exons. Lineage: Eukaryota; Viridiplantae; Streptophyta; Magnoliopsida; Rosales; Cannabaceae. The record is from RefSeq and is a predicted model, not a curated record.